This 1155-nucleotide long non-coding RNA is filed under the name Rattus norvegicus (Norway rat). Its description in RNAcentral is "long non-coding RNA NONRATT033491". The record is from RNAcentral. Lineage: Eukaryota; Metazoa; Chordata; Mammalia; Rodentia; Muridae.
CAGAUGCCUCAGUUAGGAUUUCUUAUACCUUGAAGAGACACCGUGACCACAGCAACCCUUAUAAAGGAAAAUAUUUAACUAAGAGUGGCUUAUAGGUUCUGUGGUUCGGUCCAUUAUCAUCAUGGUGAGAAGCAUAAUGUCAUGGUGCUGGAUGGGUAACUGAGAGUUUUACAUCUGUAACUGCAGGCAGAAGGGAAAGAAAGAGAGAGAGGAGAGGAGAGGAGAGGAGAGGAGAGAGAGAGAGAGAAAGAGAGAGAGAGAGAGAGAGAGAGAGAGAGAGAGAGAUCCUACUUGAGAAUCCGAAACCUCUAAUUCCAUCCGCAGUGACACACUUCUUAGAAGAAAGCCACACCCACUCCAACAAAGCCACGCCUCCCAACAGUGCCACUCCCUGUGGGCCUGUAGGGGUCAUUUUCAUCGAAACAACCACAUAGAGCAAUUCGCAGAAGGAAAAUUAUAUGGCUUAUUGUCCCAGACAGUCAGGGACCAUCGUGGCAGCGACAGAUGGCAUGGGAUAGUAAAGGCAUGGAGGUUGGAACUUGAGGCUUUGAACUUGUAAGCACGGAGGAAAGAUUCCACCCUCCGUCACGAACUUCCUCCAGAGAGGCUGCACGAGCUAAUCUUCCCCAAACGGUGCCAUCAACUGGGGACUAACUGUUCAAAUGCCUGACGUUAUGGGAAAAUCUCUCACUGAAACCAUUAUUGGAGUUCAGCAAGCCUGUGCUCUGUGAGGAUGCUGACCUCAGAGCUGUAUGACAGAAUUUGAAGGGAGCUAUGCUCAACUUCCCACAUCACAUAAAGGUGAUUUAGCAUCUCGCUGGUAUCCCUUGAGGAUCUUGGAGCCACUGAUGAGGAAUCAAAGCCAUGAAGAUGCACAAUCACUCCAUGAAAGGACUAGACGUGGCAGAAGUGGGGUGGCAGCCUCUAGCUUGCCAUGUCUUCUGAGUCAGACUGGCUGUGCAUAGUGACAAGGAGCUAUGAAAAACUAUGUUCUCAGAGAAAGCUGAGCAGCAUUUGAAGACGUUCACCUUCCCAGCAAGGGGCCUUGCUGCUACCAUCGGUCCAUUAUUCACACUGGAAAUUAGACACCAGGAACUGGAGAAGAUUGUUUUCUUUUGUUGUUUGGUCUUUUUUUUUUAAAUUUAUGGUUAGAGA